This 1020-nucleotide ribosomal RNA is filed under the name Halomonas elongata. RNAcentral's name for it is "bacterial SSU rRNA". It matches the Rfam family "Bacterial small subunit ribosomal RNA", at positions 59 to 1074 of the family's 1533-position model. Lineage: Bacteria; Pseudomonadati; Pseudomonadota; Gammaproteobacteria; Oceanospirillales; Halomonadaceae. The record is from RNAcentral.
CAGUCGAGCGGAACGAUCCUAGCUUGCUAGGAGGCGUCGAGCGGCGGACGGGUGAGUAAUGCAUAGGAAUCUGCCCGGUAGUGGGGGAUAACUUGAGGAAACUCAAGCUAAUACCGCAUACGCCCUACGGGGGAAAGCAGGGGCUCUUCGGACCUUGCGCUAUCGGAUGAGCUUAUGUCGGAUUAGCUGGUUGGUGAGGUAACGGCUCACCAAGGCGACGAUCCGUAGCUGGUCUGAGAGGAUGAUCAGCCACAUCGGGACUGAGACACGGCCCGAACUCCUACGGGAGGCAGCAGUGGGGAAUAUUGGACAAUGGGGGCAACCCUGAUCCAGCCAUGCCGCGUGUGUGAAGAAGGCCCUCGGGUUGUAAAGCACUUUCAGCGAGGAAGAAUGCUUGUCGGUUAAUACCCGGCAAGGGAGACAUCACUCGCAGAAGAAGCACCGGCUAACUCCGUGCCAGCAGCCGCGGUAAUACGGAGGGUGCGAGCGUUAAUCGGAAUUACUGGGCGUAAAGCGUGCGUAGGCGGCUUGAUAAGCCGGUUGUGAAAGCCCCGGGCUCAACCUGGGAACGGCAUCCGGAACUGUUAGGCUAGAGUGCAGGAGAGGAAGGUAGAAUUCCCGGUGUAGCGGUGAAAUGCGUAGAGAUCGGGAGGAAUACCAGUGGCGAAGGCGGCCUUCUGGACUGACACUGACGCUGAGGUACGAAAGCGUGGGUAGCAAACAGGAUUAGAUACCCUGGUAGUCCACGCCGUAAACGAUGUCGACUAGCCGUUGGGGUCCUCGAGACCUUUGUGGCGCAGUUAACGCACUAAGUCGACCGCCUGGGGAGUACGGCCGCAAGGUUAAAACUCAAUGAAUUGACGGGGGCCCGCACAAGCGGUGGAGCAUGUGGUUUAAUUCGAUGCAACGCGAAGAACCUUACCUACCCUUGACAUCGUGCGAACUUUCCAGAGAUGGAUUGGUGCCUUCGGAGCGCACAGACAGGUGCUGCAUGGCUGUCGUCAGCUCGUGUUGUGAAUG